AAAAACAUGUCUUUUUGAAUUUAUUUAAAGUCAGGCCUGCCCAAUGAUAGAUUAAAUGGCCGCAGUAUAUUAACUGUGCAAAGGUAGCAUAAUCAUUAGUUUUUUAAUUGAAAGCUUGUAUGAAUGGUUUAAUGAGAUAUAAACUUUUUUAUUUUAUUAUAUAGAAUUUUAUUUUUUAGUUAAAAAGCUAAAAUUUUUAUAUAAGACGAGAAGACCCUAUAGAUUUUUAUAUUUUUAUUAUUUUAUUUAUAAAGUAAAAUUGAAAUAUAAUAAUUUAUAAUAUUUUGUUGGGGUGAUAAUAAAAUUUAAUUAACUUUUAUAUUUUUAUAACAUUGAUUUAUGAAUUUUUGAUCCAUUAUUAAUGAUUAAUAAAUUAAAUUACCUUAGGGAUAACAGCGUAAUUUUUUUAGAGAGUUCUUAUCGAAAAAAAAGAUUGCGACCUCGAUGUUGAAUUAAAAUUUAUUUUAGGUGCAGUAGUUUAAUAAUAAAGUCUGUUCGACUUUUAAAUUUUUACAUGAUCUGA
RNAcentral lists this ribosomal RNA (523 nucleotides) under Acrocera sp. JPG-2019. RNAcentral describes it as "partial 16S ribosomal RNA". The stretch from base 389 to 523 matches the Rfam family "Bacterial large subunit ribosomal RNA", at positions 2473 to 2608 of the family's 2925-position model. The record is from RNAcentral. Lineage: Eukaryota; Metazoa; Arthropoda; Insecta; Diptera; Acroceridae.